CAAAACAUGGCUUCAUGACCUUAAUUUAUAUGAAGUCGUACCUGCCCAGUGAAGUUUUAACGGCCGCGGUACUCUGACCGUGCAAAGGUAGCAUAAUAAUUUGCCUUAUAAUUGAAGGCUGGAAUGAAUGGUUUGUCAAGGAUAAAACUGUCUCUAUAAAAUUUUAUAGAAUUUUAUCUUUAGGUGAAAAAGCCUAAAUUUUAUUAAAAGACAAGAAGACCCUAUCGAGCUUUAAAGAACUUAAUAAAUAUUUACAACUAAUUUGAAGUUUAGUUAUAAAAAAUUUUGGUUGGGGCAACCUAGGAGUAAAUAAAGCCUCCUUUUUUAAAAAUACUAUUCUGUUAAGAUCCAAAAGUUUUGAUCAAAAGAAAUAGUUACCGUAGGGAUAACAGCAUUAUUUUUUUUAAGAGCUCUUAUCGAAAAAAAAGUUUGUGACCUCGAUGUUGGACCAGAAUAUCCUGAAGAUGUAGAAGUCUUCAAGGGUUGGUCUGUUCGACCAUUAAAAUUCUACGUGAUC
This 517-nucleotide ribosomal RNA is filed under the name Gladiobela vitrea. Its description in RNAcentral is "partial large subunit ribosomal RNA". It matches the Rfam family "Bacterial large subunit ribosomal RNA", at positions 1809 to 2605 of the family's 2925-position model. The record is from RNAcentral. Lineage: Eukaryota; Metazoa; Mollusca; Gastropoda; Neogastropoda; Raphitomidae.